UUGGGAAGUUAAAGUUUUAACAAGGUUUCCCUUGGUGAACCAGCGGAGGGAUCAUUGCUGGAACGCGCCCCAGGCGCACCCAGAAACCCUUUGUGAACUUAUACCUUACUGUUGCCUCGGCGCAUGCCGGCCCCCAGGGGCCCCUCGGAGACGAGGAGCAGGCACGCCGGCGGCCAACCUAACUCUUGUUUUUACACUGAAACUCUGAGAAAAAAAAAAAAAAAAAUGAAUCAAAACUUUCAACAACGGAUCUCUUGGUUCUGGCAUCGAUGAAGAACGCAGCGAAAUGCGAUAAGUAAUGUGAAUUGCAGAAUUCAGUGAAUCAUCGAAUCUUUGAACGCACAUUGCGCCCUCCGGUAUUCCGGAGGGCAUGCCUGUUCGAGCGUCAUUUCAACCCUCAAGCACUGCUUGGUGUUGGGGCACUGCUCCUCUCGCGGGGAGCAGGCCCUGAAAUUCAGUGGCGAGCUCGCCAGGACCCCGAGCGCAGUAGUUAAACCCUCGCUCUGGAAGGCCCUGGCGGUGCCCUGCCGUUAAACCCCCAACUCUUGAAAAUUGACCUCGGAUCAGGUAGGAA
Molecule: ribosomal RNA, 574 nt
Filed under: Diaporthe sp. D11b5
Lineage: Eukaryota; Fungi; Ascomycota; Sordariomycetes; Diaporthales; Diaporthaceae
Description: eukaryotic LSU rRNA
Rfam family: 5.8S ribosomal RNA (bases 235-388)
Source: RNAcentral